Molecule: ribosomal RNA, 492 nt
Filed under: uncultured bacterium
Lineage: Bacteria
Description: partial 16S ribosomal RNA
Rfam family: Bacterial small subunit ribosomal RNA
Source: RNAcentral
AGUGAACGCUGGCGGUAGGCCUAACACAUGCAAGUCGAACGGCAGCACAGUAAGAGCUUGCUCUUACGGGUGGCGAGUGGCGGACGGGUGAGGAAUACAUCGGAAUCUACUUUUUCGUGGGGGAUAACGUAGGGAAACUUACGCUAAUACCGCAUACGACCUACGGGUGAAAGCAGGGGAUCUUCGGACCUUGCGCGAUUGAAUGAGCCGAUGUCGUAUUAGCUAGUUGGCGGGGUAAAGGCCCACCAAGGCGACGAUCCGUAGCUGGUCUGAGAGGAUGAUCAGCAACACUGGAACUGAGACACGGUCCAGACUCCUACGGGAGGCAGCAGUGGGGAAUAUUGGACAAUGGGCGCAAGCCUGAUCCAGCCAUACCGCGUGGGUGAAGAAGGCCUUCGGGUUGUAAAGCCCUUUUGUUGGGAAAGAAAAGCAGCAGGUUAAUACCCCGCUGUUCUGACGGUACCCAAAGAAUAAGCACCGGCUAACUUCGUG